Molecule: ribosomal RNA, 217 nt
Filed under: uncultured bacterium
Lineage: Bacteria
Description: partial 16S ribosomal RNA
Rfam family: Bacterial small subunit ribosomal RNA
Source: RNAcentral
UUACUCAGUUCAGAUUGCAGGCUGCAACCCGCCUGCAUGAAGUCGGAAUUGCUAGUAAUCGCGGAUCAGCAUGCCGCGGUGAAUACGUUCCCGGGCCUUGUACACACCGCCCGUCACACCAUGAGAGUUUGUAACACCCAAAGCCGGUGGGGUAACCUUUUGGAGCCAGCCGUCUAAGGUGGGACAGAUGAUUGGGGUGAAGUCGUAACAAGGUACC